This 253-nucleotide ribosomal RNA is filed under the name uncultured bacterium. RNAcentral's name for it is "partial 16S ribosomal RNA". It matches the Rfam family "Bacterial small subunit ribosomal RNA", at positions 524 to 776 of the family's 1533-position model. The record is from RNAcentral.
CACGUAGGGCGCAAGCGUUGUCCGGAAUUAUUGGGCGUAAAGAGCUCGUAGGCGGUCUGUUGCGUCCGCUGUGAAAACUCGGGGCUUAACCCCGAGCCUGCAGUGGAUACGGGCAGACUAGAGGUAGGUAGGGGAGAAUGGAAUUCCCGGUGUAGCGGUGAAAUGCGCAGAUAUCGGGAGGAACACCGGUGGCGAAGGCGGUUCUCUGGGCAUGAUCUGACGCUGAGGAGCGAAAGUGUGGGGAGCGAACAGG